Molecule: ribosomal RNA, 465 nt
Filed under: uncultured bacterium
Lineage: Bacteria
Description: partial 16S ribosomal RNA
Rfam family: Bacterial small subunit ribosomal RNA
Source: RNAcentral
GACGAACGCUGGCGGCGUGCUUAACACAUGCAAGUCGAACGGAAAGGCCCCUUCGGGGGUACUCGAGUGGCGAACAGGUGCGUAACACGUGAGUAACCUUCCCUUGCCUUCGGGAUAACUUCAGGAAACUGGGGCUAAUACCGGAUAGGAAUCCUUGCUGCAUGGUGGGGGUUGGAAAGCUUCGGCGGUUUUGGAUGGACUCGCGGCGUAUCAGCUUGUUGGUGGGGUAGUGGCUUACCAAGGCUUUGACGGGUAGCCGGCCUGAGGGGGCGACCGGCCACACUGGGACUGAGAGGCGGCCCAGACUCCGACGGGAGGCAGAAGUGGGGAAGAUUGCACAAUGGGCGGAAGCCGGAUGCAGCAACGCCGCGGGCGGGAUGACGGUCUUCGGGUUGUAAACCGCUUUCAGCAGGGGCGAAGCUUGUGGUGACGGUACCUGCAGAAGAAGCACCGGCUAACUACGUG